RNAcentral lists this ribosomal RNA (460 nucleotides) under uncultured bacterium. RNAcentral's name for it is "partial 16S ribosomal RNA". It matches the Rfam family "Bacterial small subunit ribosomal RNA", at positions 338 to 795 of the family's 1533-position model. The record is from RNAcentral.
CCUACGGGUGGCAGCAGUGAGGAAUAUUGGUCAAUGGGCGCGAGCCUGAACCAGCCAAGUAGCGUGAAUGAUGACUGCCCUACGGGUUGUAAACUUCUUUUAUAAAGGAGUAAAGUGAGGAACGUGUGCCUUUUUGUAUGUACUUUAUGAAUAAGGAUCGGCUAACUCAGUGCCGGCAGCGGCGGUAAUACGUAGUAUCCGAGCGUUAUCCGGAUUGAUUGGGUUUAAAGGGAGCGUAGAGGGGUUGUUAAGUCAGUUGUGAAAGUUUGCGGCUCAACCGUAAAAUUGCAAUUGAUACUGGCAGUCUUGAGUACAGUUGAGGUAGGUGGAAUUCGUGGUGUAGCGGUGAAAUGCUGAGAUAUCACGAAGAACUCCGAUUGCGAAGGCAGCUUACUAAACUGCCACUGACAUUGAUGCUCGAAAGUGUGGGUAUCAAACAGGAUUAGAUACCCCAGUAGUC